This 341-nucleotide unclassified non-coding RNA is filed under the name Hevea brasiliensis (rubber tree). The record is from RNAcentral. Lineage: Eukaryota; Viridiplantae; Streptophyta; Magnoliopsida; Malpighiales; Euphorbiaceae.
GAUUCGGUUCUUGCACUGGACGUCUGUACGGUGAGUCUUCUUGGAGUGGCCAUGGAGGGCAUUGACGGCUUCAGCAACAUCCUGCCAAUCCUUCUGACGGAGAUUGCCCCGGUUGAGCUCGACAAAACGGCGUCCCCAAACGUCGAUGAGAGUGGAGGUAGCCUCCUCGCUCCAGCAGUCUUCACGAACGGGCAUGGGUCGGGAGUGGCCCGACGACGGUGUCAAGGAAUCGGUCAAGUCGCCCAUGGGGAGCGGCGGCGGAGGAGGAGAUAGAAAUACGGCAGGUGAUCUGGGAUCGGCGAUUUGAGAUUUGGGGAGCCGGGGUCGGGAUCGGGAUCGGG